GAUGAAGAACGUAGCGAAAUGCGAUAAGUAGUGUGAAUUGCAGAAUUCAGUGAAUCAUCGAAUCUUUGAACGCACAUUGCGCCCUCUGGUAUUCCGGGGGGCAUGCCUGUUCGAGCGUCAUUGCAAACCCCUCAAGCACGGCUUGUGUGUUGGGCCAUCGUCCCCUAUGGACGGGCCUGAAAUGCAGUGGCAGCACCGAGUCCUGGUGUCUGAGUGUAUGGGAAUCUCUAUCGCUCAAAGACCCAAUCGGCGCUGAUGUCAGAUUUUUAUCCAGUUUGACCUCGGAUCAGGUAGGAGUACCCGCUGAACUUAAGCAUAUCAAUAAGCGGAGGA
RNAcentral lists this unclassified non-coding RNA (333 nucleotides) under soil metagenome. RNAcentral's name for it is "partial contains 5.8S ribosomal RNA, internal transcribed spacer 2, and large subunit ribosomal RNA". The stretch from base 1 to 120 matches the Rfam family "5.8S ribosomal RNA", at positions 35 to 154 of the family's 154-position model. The record is from RNAcentral.